UUUUUUUAUGCUUACUUUUGAUGUUCUAGCUAAUUUCAGACAUAGUUUAUUUCUUUUUUAAAAUUCAAAUGAAAAUUAUUCUUUAUAUAAAGAGAAUAAUGAUAUUAAACAUUGAUUAUAUAUGCAGCUGGUCAAUCAUGUUGUUCUCUUAUCUUAGACUGUCUGGAAAGAGGCGGAGCUUUGUCUAUAUUUAAUUACUACAUCACAGAUGUUGGUCAAAUCUGUGACGUCAAACUCCCGCCAAAUGCCAAGUUAGUGUUGGACAGUUCAAAUAUAAUGCAAAAUUUACAGUAUUAGAGCAUCAAAGACACAAAGUGUGUGGUUCUAUUGAUAUAGUAAUGGUAUCAGAACACUCCUGGGGUGUUUCCAGUGGAAUGUUUGUAUUUAUAUUGACUUAAUAGGGGUUCUAAAGGGGAAAUUCAGUUUUUAGGUCAUUUCUCAGAACAAUUUUUCAUGAAAAUUGUAAGGAAAAAAUUAAAAUAGAAACUUAAUGGGUAUCCCCUUUGGCUUGACAUUGAUAUAUAUGAUUAAAGGGUGUAUUUUCUACAAUACCGUGUCCCAGUUUUUGGAUAAUUUGUUUCUAAAUGAAUUUAUAGGUCUCCAAAGAUGAAAGGUGAAAUAAGGUUUGGCACCCAGCAGUUAAAUCAAUAUAUCUUCUUACUGGAGGCAUAUAUCAAAAAUCUAAGACACGGUUUUGGAGAUUGUAUAUGGUUGAUUAAAGGGAUGAAAACAAAUUUUCACUACCAUUUGACAUGAAUGUGCCAUUUUCAUCAAUGUUGGAAGACCACUUUUUUGGCAAUUAAUGAGCUAUAUUUUGAGAUUAAUC
This 826-nucleotide long non-coding RNA is filed under the name Mytilus galloprovincialis (Mediterranean mussel). The record is from RNAcentral. Lineage: Eukaryota; Metazoa; Mollusca; Bivalvia; Mytilida; Mytilidae.